RNAcentral lists this ribosomal RNA (1599 nucleotides) under metagenome. RNAcentral's name for it is "bacterial LSU rRNA". It matches the Rfam family "Bacterial large subunit ribosomal RNA", at positions 1344 to 2925 of the family's 2925-position model. The record is from RNAcentral.
ACCAAGGGUUCCUGCGCAACGUUAAUCGACGCAGGGUUAGUCGGUUCCUAAGGCGAGGCUGAAAAGCGUAGUCGAUGGGAAACAGGUUAAUAUUCCUGUACUUCUGGUUACUGCGAUGGAGGGACGGAGAAGGCUAGGCCAGCUUGGCGUUGGUUGUCCAAGUUUAAGGUGGUAGGCUGAAAUCUUAGGUAAAUCCGGGGUUUCAAGGCCGAGAGCUGAUGACGAGUCGUCUUUUAGAUGACGAAGUGGUUGAUGCCAUGCUUCCAAGAAAAGCUUCUAAGCUUCAGGUAACCAGGAACCGUACCCCAAACCGACACAGGUGGUCGGGUAGAGAAUACCAAGGCGCUUGAGAGAACUCGGGUGAAGGAACUAGGCAAAAUGGCACCGUAACUUCGGGAGAAGGUGCGCCGGCUAGGGUGAAGGAUUUACUCCGUAAGCUCUGGCUGGUCGAAGAUACCAGGCCGCUGCGACUGUUUAUUAAAAACACAGCACUCUGCAAACACGAAAGUGGACGUAUAGGGUGUGACGCCUGCCCGGUGCCGGAAGGUUAAUUGAUGGGGUUAGCGCAAGCGAAGCUCUUGAUCGAAGCCCCGGUAAACGGCGGCCGUAACCAUAACGGUCCUAAGGUAGCGAAAUUCCUUGUCGGGUAAGUUCCGACCUGCACGAAUGGCGUAACGAUGGCGGCGCUGUCUCCACCCGAGACUCAGUGAAAUUGAAAUCGCUGUGAAGAUGCAGUGUAUCCGCGGCUAGACGGAAAGACCCCGUGAACCUUUACUGUAGCUUUGCACUGGACUUUGAGCCUGCUUGUGUAGGAUAGGUGGGAGGCUUUGAAGCGUGGACGCCAGUUCGCGUGGAGCCAUCCUUGAAAUACCACCCUGGCAUGCUUGAGGUUCUAACUCUGGUCCGUAAUCCGGAUCGAGGACAGUGUAUGGUGGGCAGUUUGACUGGGGCGGUCUCCUCCUAAAGAGUAACGGAGGAGUACGAAGGUGCGCUCAGACCGGUCGGAAAUCGGUCGCAGAGUAUAAAGGCAAAAGCGCGCUUGACUGCGAGACAGACACGUCGAGCAGGUACGAAAGUAGGUCUUAGUGAUCCGGUGGUUCUGUAUGGAAGGGCCAUCGCUCAACGGAUAAAAGGUACUCCGGGGAUAACAGGCUGAUACCGCCCAAGAGUUCAUAUCGACGGCGGUGUUUGGCACCUCGAUGUCGGCUCAUCACAUCCUGGGGCUGAAGCCGGUCCCAAGGGUAUGGCUGUUCGCCAUUUAAAGUGGUACGCGAGCUGGGUUUAGAACGUCGUGAGACAGUUCGGUCCCUAUCUGCCGUGGACGUUUGAGAUUUGAGAGGGGCUGCUCCUAGUACGAGAGGACCGGAGUGGACGAACCUCUGGUGUUCCGGUUGUCACGCCAGUGGCAUUGCCGGGUAGCUAUGUUCGGAAAAGAUAACCGCUGAAAGCAUCUAAGCGGGAAACUUGCCUCAAGAUGAGAUCUCACUGGGAACUUGAUUCCCCUGAAGGGCCGUCGAAGACUACGACGUUGAUAGGCUGGGUGUGUAAGCGUUGUGAGGCGUUGAGCUAACCAGUACUAAUUGCCCGUGAGGCUUGAAC